RNAcentral lists this unclassified non-coding RNA (400 nucleotides) under soil metagenome. RNAcentral describes it as "partial contains 5.8S ribosomal RNA, internal transcribed spacer 2, and large subunit ribosomal RNA". The stretch from base 1 to 122 matches the Rfam family "5.8S ribosomal RNA", at positions 35 to 154 of the family's 154-position model. The record is from RNAcentral.
GAUGAAGAACGUAGCGAAAUGCGAUACUUGGUGUGAAUUGCAGAAUCCCGUGAACCACCGAGUCUUUGAACGCAAGUUGCGCCUCAAGCCAUUAGGUUGAGGGCACGUCUGCCUGGGCGUCACAUAUCGUUGCCUGAUGCCAGUUUCCUCGUGAUGGGUGACUGUGCAGGGCGAAUGAUGGCUUCCCGUGAGCAUUGUUGCCUCAUGGUUGGUUGAAAAUUGAGUCCUUGGUAGGGAGCGCCGUGAUAGAUGGUGGUUGAGUGACGAACGAGACCCAAUCAUGUGAGACCCCUACCGAAUUUGGCCUUCAUGACCCACAUGCGUCUUUGGAACGCUCAUGACGAGACCUCAGGUCAGGCGGGGCUACCCGCUGAGUUUAAGCAUAUCAAUAAGCGGAGGA